RNAcentral lists this unclassified non-coding RNA (317 nucleotides) under fungal sp. RNAcentral's name for it is "partial internal transcribed spacer region". The stretch from base 1 to 46 matches the Rfam family "Eukaryotic small subunit ribosomal RNA", at positions 1786 to 1831 of the family's 1831-position model. Lineage: Eukaryota; Fungi. The record is from RNAcentral.
AAGUCGUAACAAGGUUUCCGUAGGUGAACCUGCGGAAGGAUCAUUAACACUCUUUUUUCAAUGAAAGAGCUCAUUUUUUGAUAUCUUUGUUUUUUCUUUUGAGAAACUUGGAUUCAAAUAAUGGGUAUUCACCCCCUUAUAUUGACGAACGAAGAAAAACAAUGAUUUUGUUUCAAAAGCAAAACUCAUAUUUUUCUAUCUUUUUUCUCUAUACCUUAUAUUUUUCAAAACCCCUUUUUUUACAAUAUGUCUUAGACUGAAAUGAAAAAUUAAGAUAAAUUAAAAAACAACUCUUAACAACGGAUAUCUUGGUUCUC